GGACCAAUACAUAUUACAUACGGCUGAAUCCCAAAACAUUACGCUUCCAUUCGCUUGCAGGCACGGUAUUGUUCUUUAAAAUUUGCAGAAGUUAUGUUUUGAAAUGUCGCGAACAUGUCACAUUUAUUGACGAUUUGAGUUUGUGGUCGUCAUUAAGAUACUGCAAUGGAGUUUAUUAAUUGGACAUUAAGGCUAUUUUGAUUCUUUUGAAUGGUAAUCUUUUCUUAUUGGAUGGGAUAGGUUUUGAUGAAUAGCUCCUUACAUGGCAGGUUGCUGUACUAGCUGUGCCGUACGCGUAAAGUCUGGACAAAUAAGACAGCCUGAAGCUCUUGGGAUAUCUACUGAAUUGAAAGCAAAGGCAUGGAUCCAUCUGCUCGUUUUGCUUAUUAUUUGGCAUUUGAGUUUCGACUCAAACAUUAAGCUCCUAUCUCAUUGUGUUCUCAUCAUCUAGUUAUCAUUUUGACCAUACUAUAGGUUUCUAUAUGAAGUCAGAGUAACUUUAAGAAUUCUAGUCAUUUAACAAAUAGGAUACGAAUAAGAUAAAUAAAUAAAUGUUGUAUAAAUGCACUAGGAAUGAGAGCAUAAAUGGAAGAAGAUUCAUAAGACAGGUUUGAUUGUGACUGUCAUGUAGUCCUUGUUUCAGUUAAAUUAAUCAAAUUAUGAGUAUCGUUACCUAUUUUGGAAGACAUGUAAACUUCUUCGAAUUGAUGUUGUUAAAUUUUUGUUGAAAAU
RNAcentral lists this long non-coding RNA (732 nucleotides) under Theobroma cacao (cacao). RNAcentral's name for it is "long non-coding RNA (TCAC_LNC002154)". Lineage: Eukaryota; Viridiplantae; Streptophyta; Magnoliopsida; Malvales; Malvaceae. The record is from RNAcentral.